Molecule: ribosomal RNA, 482 nt
Filed under: uncultured bacterium
Lineage: Bacteria
Description: partial 16S ribosomal RNA
Rfam family: Bacterial small subunit ribosomal RNA
Source: RNAcentral
GACGAACGCUGGCGGCGUGCUUAACACAUGCAAGUCGAACGAUGAAGAAGAGAAACGCGAACUUCGGUUCAAAUUUCACUUCGGAUUAGUGGCAGACGGGUGAGUAACGCGUGAGCAACCUACCUCUUACAAAGGGAUAGCCUCGGGAAACCGUGAUUAAUACCAUAUGACACAUUCAUAAGGCAUCUUAAGAAUGUUAAAGCUACGGCGGUAAGAGAUGGGCUCGCGUCCCAUUAGCUAGUUGGUGAGGUAACGGCCCACCAAGGCGACGAUGGGUAACCGGCCUGAGAGGGUGAACGGUCACAUUGGAACUGAGACACGGUCCAAACUCCUACGGGAGGCAGCAGUGGGGAAUAUUGCACAAUGGAGGAAACUCUGAUGCAGCGACGCCGCGUGAGCGAUGAAGGAAUUCGUUUCGUAAAGCUCUGUUCUAUGGGAAGAAAAGGACUGUACCAUAGGAGAAAGCCCCGGCUAAAUACGUG